UACAGAGGGGGCAAGCGUUGUUCGGAAUUACUGGGCGUAAAGGGCGCGUAGGCGGCCCGCUAAGUCGAACGUGAAAUCCCCGAGCUCAACUCGGGAACUGCGUCCGAUACUGGUGGGCUUGAAUCCGGGAGAGGGAUGCGGAAUUCCAGGUGUAGCGGUGAAAUGCGUAGAUAUCUGGAGGAACACCGGUGGCGAAGGCGGCAUCCUGGACCGGCAUUGACGCUGAGGCGCGAAAGCGUGGGGAGCGAUCCGG
This 253-nucleotide ribosomal RNA is filed under the name uncultured bacterium. Its description in RNAcentral is "partial 16S ribosomal RNA". It matches the Rfam family "Bacterial small subunit ribosomal RNA", at positions 524 to 776 of the family's 1533-position model. The record is from RNAcentral.